Long non-coding RNA from Prionailurus viverrinus (fishing cat), 400 nucleotides. RefSeq lists it as uncharacterized. The record is from RefSeq and is a predicted model, not a curated record. The transcript is spliced from 3 exons. NCBI's taxonomy places the organism in Eukaryota, Metazoa, Chordata, Mammalia, Carnivora, Felidae.
UGUGUUUUAACAUUAUAAAUGUAAUCUGCAUUUGAUGCACAAAACCCAGAAGAGUAAAAAGAAGCGAAAACUCGUGACAGUCCCACUACCACGGACACGCUCAUUGGCAAAACCCAACCAGAAGCCAGAGCAGAGAGCCUGGGCACUGUGUCCUAUAGAGGUUACAGAUCCAAGUUCACAGGCCAAGGUCGAGAGACAUGGAGAAUGGGUCUCAUGGCAAGCAGAAGCAGAGAGAAUUAGCCAGGAUAAAGACGAGAAGAAAAUUAAAAAUCCUUCGGAAGUCCACCCUCCAGAGCUCUCUGACGCAGUGGAGACAUGGAGAACGUAGAAAGAACAGUGCCCUCGUGCGCCUGCCUAGGGGCUGUGCCAUCUGCAAGCUGUGACUGUCGUGUCAUAUCUG